UUUGCACCAUCCCAUCCAUGUUGGAUUGUUUUAUGUCUUGGCUACCUGGAUAUACCAGAGUUGAGCCAUUGGAGUGUGUUGUGGUGAAUUUGACACGUAACACUUCAUAUCUUGUUUCGUUGAUUCCCGUUGAUCCAUAGCUCCGAUUGUAAUGUUCUUUAUAUGGUUUUGCAUCGUUUUCACGAGACGCACCUGAUCAUGUCAUUCUCAUUCAUGUGAAGAUAUAUUAGGAUGAAGUUAUGUCCAGGAACAUGUAUUACUUCUCAUUCUUGUGCUAGUGAUAGAAAUAGUGAUGCAUGCUCAUAUUCAUCU
RNAcentral lists this long non-coding RNA (312 nucleotides) under Hordeum vulgare. RNAcentral describes it as "long non-coding RNA (HVUL_LNC018708)". Lineage: Eukaryota; Viridiplantae; Streptophyta; Magnoliopsida; Poales; Poaceae. The record is from RNAcentral.